Molecule: long non-coding RNA, 415 nt
Filed under: Sinocyclocheilus grahami
Lineage: Eukaryota; Metazoa; Chordata; Actinopteri; Cypriniformes; Cyprinidae
Description: lncRNA (ENSSGRG00000019819.1)
Source: RNAcentral
AUUAACAGGACAGUGGGUCCCUAGGAGCAGGGUUGAAGACCUAGGCACCCCCCCCCCCCCCCCCCGCUCAUGCGAUAUAAAGCUUUUUUAGCAUUUCUUCAUGGUGAAACACCAUCUGCCUGAAUUAUGACUGUCUGGGAUGCAUAUGAAAUUCCAUCAGCUUCAUUCUCCUGAAACAGUAGAGGUUGUGGAAGAACUAAUAACCUGAACCAGGACUGGAUUCAAUAGUGUUCAGGUCAGAAUCUCUCAGUUUGGUAGUUAGUAGUUUGUAAUUACCACAUAAGACUAUCACAUUCUCUUUUUUUCUUGCUUUCCAGGGUAAAAUGGAACAAGAUGAUUGGACACUGGCUGACGUUUUUUAUACACUGAUACCUUAAUUGAUUAUUUCAAAAUUAUUUUAUUCACUUAUCUUCAU